RNAcentral lists this transfer RNA (74 nucleotides) under Aliivibrio sp. Its description in RNAcentral is "tRNA-Arg". It matches the Rfam family "tRNA". Rfam says of the family: Transfer RNA (tRNA) molecules are approximately 80 nucleotides in length. Their secondary structure includes four short double-helical elements and three loops (D, anti-codon, and T loops). The record is from RNAcentral. Lineage: Bacteria; Pseudomonadati; Pseudomonadota; Gammaproteobacteria; Vibrionales; Vibrionaceae.
GUGCUUGUGGCUCAAUUGGAUAGAGUAUCAGACUACGGAUCUGAGGGCUGAGAGUUCGAAUCUUUCCAGGCACG